Molecule: ribosomal RNA, 796 nt
Filed under: uncultured archaeon
Lineage: Archaea
Description: bacterial SSU rRNA
Rfam family: Archaeal small subunit ribosomal RNA
Source: RNAcentral
ACGGNUCAGUAACACGUGGAUAACCUGCCCUUGGGUCCGGCAUAACUCCGGGAAACUGGAGAUAAUUCCGGAUAACGCACAUAUGCUGGAAUGCUUUAUGCGUAAAAUGGAUUCGUCUGCCCAAGGAUGGGUCUGCGGCCUAUCAGGUAGUAGUGGGUGUAAUGUACCUACUAGCCUACGACGGGUACGGGUUGUGAGAGCAAGAGCCCGGAGAUGGAUUCUGAGACAUGAAUCCAGGCCCUACGGGGCGCAGCAGGCGCGAAAACUUUACAAUGCGGGAAACCGUGAUAAGGGGACACCGAGUGCCAGCAUCAUAUGCUGGCUGUCCAGGUGUGUAAAAUACACCUGUUAGCAAGGGCCGGGCAAGACCGGUGCCAGCCGCCGCGGUAACACCGGCGGCCCGAGUGGUGAUCGUGAUUAUUGGGUCUAAAGGGUCCGUAGCCGGUUUGGUCAGUCCUCCGGGAAAUCUGAUAGCUCAACUAUUAGGCUUUCGGAGGAUACUGCCAGACUUGGAACCGGGAGAGGUAAGAGGUACUACAGGGGUAGGAGUGAAAUCUUGUAAUCCCUGUGGGACCACCUGUGGCGAAGGCGUCUUACCAGAACGGGUUCGACGGUGAGGGACGAAAGCUGGGGGCACGAACCGGAUUAGAUACCCGGGUAGUCCCAGCCGUAAACGAUGCUCGCUAGGUGUCAGGCAUGGCGCGACCGUGUCUGGUGCCGCAGGGAAGCCGUGAAGCGAGCCACCUGGGAAGUACGGCCGCAAGGCUGAAACUUAAAGGAAUUGGCGGGGGAGCAC